Molecule: ribosomal RNA, 256 nt
Filed under: uncultured bacterium
Lineage: Bacteria
Description: partial 16S ribosomal RNA
Rfam family: Bacterial small subunit ribosomal RNA
Source: RNAcentral
UAAUACGUAGGGUGCGAGCGUUAAUCGGAAUUACUGGGCGUAAAGCGUGCGCAGGCGGUGCUGUAAGACAGGCGUGAAAUCCCCGGGCUUAACCUGGGAAUGGCGCUUGUGACUGCAGUGCUGGAGUGUGGCAGAGGGGGAUGGAAUUCCGCGUGUAGCAGUGAAAUGCGUAGAUAUGCGGAGGAACACCGAUGGCGAAGGCAAUCCCCUGGGCCUGCACUGACGCUCAUGCACGAAAGCGUGGGGAGCAAACAGG